GAUGAACGCUGACAGAAUGCUUAACACAUGCAAGUCUACUUGAUCCUUCGGGUGAUGGUGGCGGACGGGUGAGUAACGCGUAAAGAACUUGCCCUGCAGUUCGGGACAACAUCUGGAAACGGAUGSUAAUACCGGGUAUUAUACUUUAGUCGCAUGACUUUUGUAUGAAAGCUAUAUGCGCUGCAGGAGAGCUUUGCGUCCUAUUAGMUUGUUGGUGAGGUAACGGCUCACCAAGGCGAUGAUAGGUAGCCGGCCUGAGAGGGUGAACGGCCACAAGGGGACUGAGACACGGCCCUUACUCCUACGGGAGGCAGCAGUGGGGAAUAUUGGACAAUGGACCAAAAGUCUGAUCCAGCAAUUCUGUGUGCACGAUGAAGUUUUUCGGAAUGUAAAGUGCUUUUCAGUUGGGACGAAGAACGUGACGGUACCAAACMRRA
This 437-nucleotide ribosomal RNA is filed under the name uncultured bacterium. RNAcentral describes it as "bacterial SSU rRNA". It matches the Rfam family "Bacterial small subunit ribosomal RNA", at positions 28 to 487 of the family's 1533-position model. The record is from RNAcentral.